AUUAUAUCAAAGCGUAGUAGACUGUCUUGAGCUGAUCGAUUCCUAUGACCUACCUAAGACACCGUAAGGCAUCAUGUCGAUACAAUAGAGCUCUCGACUACCUCCAGCUCAUGUUUCCAAUUUAGAUGGAAGUCAAUGCGCACACCGAGGCAUUUUACCUGGUCUACUACAUCUAUGUCAAAAACUCCAUUCAUUGACACUUCAAGUUUGUCUGUCUUCUUCAAGUUAUAUUUAAUUUAUAUUAUUUUAGUCUUUUUAGGGUAAGCACGUGAAUAAUUUUUUGAAAACCAGUCACAAAAGGUUAAGACUGCAUCAUUCGUAAUUCUAUUUAGCUCAUCAAUACUAUCAACACAAAAAGUUGCAUUUGUAUCAUCUGCAUAAACCGUCAACUUACUAUUUUUAACUGUACUAUUAAUAUAGUUUAUGGAGUCGUUAGUAAAAACGAGAAAUAGUAAAGGACCGAGAAUGGACCCCUGAGGGACACCUUGUUUAACAUCAACAACCUUAGAAGUAAUAGAUUUUUCGUGAUAGUUUUGAACGUUCCAUAUAUCCACAAAUUGUUUUCUAUUUUCAAGAUAAUUUAACAGGAGCCGGUAUGCAUUGCCUCUGAUUCCAUAGAAAUCGAGCUUUUUCAUAAGAAUCGCAUGAUCGACUAAAUCAAAAGCGGAACUUAGGUCAAUAAAAAGACUCGCCACUCUUUUUCCUGUGUUAAGCUCUUCCACAAUAUCAUUUACAAGAGAGUCAAUAGCGUCAGUGGUUCCUAUGUUUUUUGGAAUCCAAAUUGCCGAUGGCUGAUGAUAUCAUACACUAUGAAAUGGUCUAAAAGGCGUGAUUUGAUCAGUUUCUCAAAAAAAAUUGAGAGUACCGGAAGUAGCGAUAUUGGCCGAUAAUUUUUAAGAUGAAUUUGUGAUCCUUUUUUAUAAAUGGGUAGGAUCCUAGCCACUUUGAACUGUUCAGGAAAUACUGCAAAGUCGAAGCAUUUAUUAAAUAGAAAAGCCAAUGGUUCCGCCAGCAAGGCUAUACAAUCUUUGAUCACCGAAAUCGGCAUUUCAUCGAAACCGCUAGAUUUUUUGUUAUCCAUACUUUGAACGAUUUUAAUUAUUUCAAUUGAAGUUACUGAAUUAAAGGAUAUGUCAUUGAAUUUCCUAUUGUUAGAUUGUUCAAGGAUAUGUACAGCAGAACAUAAAUCACCCGUGUUUGGAUUAUUACUGUGAUCGAAACCUUUUGAAAAUAAGUUAGCCACCUCUUGAGGAUUUCCAAAAAUCUUAUUCUUUACAUUUAGGAUAAGUUUACCAAGUUGAGGUUUGUAAGAUUUGUUACGACAUUUGUUGACAACAUUCCAUAUUACUUUUGGCGAUCCUUUGGCAUUACUUAUUUUUGAUUGAACUGCUGUCCGUUUUGCAUAUUUGACGACUCUUCUAAAGAUAUUUAUAUAUUUUUGUCUGUAAACUAGUACAGAAUUAUCACACGUUUCCUUAUUUAAGUUAGUCAAAACACGCUUCAUUUUGCUCGCUACCUUAAUGCCCUUCGUGAUCCACUUAAUUUUAGAAUUCUUUAUUAAUUUUAAUUUUUUCUUAGUCUUCUUAAAACUAUCUC
Cydia strobilella is the source of this 1596-nucleotide long non-coding RNA. RefSeq lists it as uncharacterized. The record is from RefSeq and is a predicted model, not a curated record. Lineage: Eukaryota; Metazoa; Arthropoda; Insecta; Lepidoptera; Tortricidae. The transcript has 3 exons.